AUUGAACGCUGGCGGCAGGCCUAACACAUGCAAGUCGAGCGGAUGAAGGGAGCUUGCUCCUGGAUUCAGCGGCGGACGGGUGAGUAAUGCCUAGGAAUCUGCCUGGUAGUGGGGGAUAACGUCCGGAAACGGGCGCUAAUACCGCAUACGUCCUGAGGGAGAAAGUGGGGGAUCUUCGGACCUCACGCUAUCAGAUGAGCCUAGGUCGGAUUAGCUAGUUGGUGGGGUAAAGGCCUACCAAGGCGACGAUCCGUAACUGGUCUGAGAGGAUGAUCAGUCACACUGGAACUGAGACACGGUCCAGACUCCUACGGGAGGCAGAAGUGGGGAAUAUUGGACAAUGGGCGAAAGCCUGAUCCAGCCAUGCCGCGUGUGUGAAGAAGGUCUUCGGAUUGUAAAGCACUUUAAGUUGGGAGGAAGGGUAGUAAGUUAAUACCUUGCUGUUUUGACGUUACCAACAGAAUAAGCACCGGCUAACUUCGUG
This 484-nucleotide ribosomal RNA is filed under the name uncultured bacterium. RNAcentral's name for it is "partial 16S ribosomal RNA". It matches the Rfam family "Bacterial small subunit ribosomal RNA", at positions 30 to 507 of the family's 1533-position model. The record is from RNAcentral.